AUGCGUUCUCCCUCUCCCCUCCAGCUCCCACCCCCACCCUCUCACUCCCCGCCCCCUCGCCGGGGGGGGGGGGGGGGGGCGGGAGUGGGUUUGGAGCAUCUCUUCUGUCAGACCUGUGAGAGCUGGGACGGCUUGCUUCCGAGCGCAUCCCGAGUGCAACCAUCUUUCUCAGGACCUGAGGGUCUGGUGUUCACAUCCCUUC
Molecule: long non-coding RNA, 202 nt
Filed under: Felis catus (domestic cat)
Lineage: Eukaryota; Metazoa; Chordata; Mammalia; Carnivora; Felidae
Description: lncRNA (ENSFCAG00000053596.1)
Source: RNAcentral